UGAGAGAGUCACGGGAGAAUGGCGGCCUAUCUCGGUGGUCAGCGCCCCGAAGAACGAAUGGGAACCUCCAGGUAUGGAAGAAAAAUGAAGGAUCUUCAAAUGUUUCCAAAAGCCUUUUAUGAAGACCAUGAAGCUGCAGCAGACGUUGGUCCUUCACCAAUUUCCCGCUUUGUACGAAGGAGUACUUCAAGGCCACUACGUACGUUUCGUGUAUAUUUCGCGGAUGAAAACUGGUCAUACGUGAAAACACGUGGCAAAGGCUGACUGAGUCUGAUGCAGCGGCCACUACACCACAGCCCAACGUCCGUUACAGCAGACAGACAGACGCAAGUUGGACAUCAAUUCCACCCUCAUGGACUAAAAGGAACAGGAUAGAAAUCCAAUUCUAUUUUCAAAGUGUUUCCCAGUUUUCAUGAUUAUGCUGAUUUUAGCCCAAAUCAAAAAAGCAGUUCAGCAUAAAAUUCACCUUUGUGUUGUGGGCGUGGCAAUUGGCACAGAGAAACCCCGCCCCCUUCCCCUCCCAAAUCAGGGAGCUCACCCAGCGUAUUUUCUAUGCCACAAAUACGAUCUUUUUCAAAUGGCAUUUCUUUCGUCUGCUCCUAAUUCACAGCGAUUUGAAUGAGAAAUACUCAGAAAUUCUAUUUGAAAGUUUAUUUCCUUAAAUAUUUGUCUUCCAUCACAAGAAAAUAGCCACAAGAACAUUUUAAAAACAACAUUUUCUUCAGAGUGAGUUUUUGAAUUUUAUGUGAAGAGAAAAGCCUCUUUCCAUACUUUUCUGACUAUUAUAACAUUAUUUGGUUUCUGGUGUAUUUCUGACCUUAAUGUGAAGCUUAGCUUUAAUGGGAACCAAAGCUUAUUAACAUCAUAAAGAAGUAAAUUAUACUUUUUUAAGGUAGAGUGUAGUUAUUAUAAGAGCUGUAUAGCCGAAUUUUUAUGGGUAUCGAGUGGACUGGAAAGUUUAUUCUUAGGGUUAAGAUGAGGGUAAAUUGUGAUGACAAAGACAGUUUUGUAUAAAUAUAAAUAAAGGCUGUGAUUACAUUUGACCCCUUAAGUCUUUGAAGUCCUAGAACUGCCAACAAUGUAAAUAUGUUUUAUCAUAUUUUUAUCCCUUUUAUUUAAGAAAACUGCUGGUCCCAGUGGUUCAUGAGAGGACCAAAGACCAAUGUUUGUGCAGGAAAAUAAUAUAUAAUUCACUUCUUUCUUGGAUUCAAGAAACAUCAGACAGGAUAUUCAACUGGCUGGAUUGGAAGCAUUCUGCAGAGAAGUAUUGCUUUGGGGAAUGCCAUUGGUGAGGCGUGCGUUUGGCUUUACGUAUGAAAGUCAUUCAGCUGAUCCACAGCUCGGAGCAGCUGAGCGAUCAAAGGCCUGCAGCAGACGCACACACUGGGCCGGGGAUCAGGGUCGAACGUGGCACUGAAGCCCGCUUCAAAGAGGAAAUUGGAUUUGUGCUGGCACCAUCCGAGCGGCACCAAUACCUCUGGCAUUGUUCCCACUGAGCCACUAACAAUGGGGAACGCUUUUUGGACUCAAGGGACUUUCUAUAAUAUCUUUCUGUGGUGCGAGCCAAAAAAAAGAACAAAAAAACAAAAAAGGAAUUUACACCUCUCCUUAAAAGGACCACGGGAGAAAAAACUAGAUUAUCGAGUUGCCAGUUUGAGCGCCGAUAUCCAGAAAACUGAAAUGUGCGGAAAAAUCUUAAACUAGGGGCAAACAAUGAUGCUGUGACACCUCCUUCUGCAGGAACAUUCUAUUGAAGUCGAAAAAAAACAUCCUUUGAAAAUUCUAUAUCUAACAAUAACAAUAUGGAAGUUAAAAUCUUGGUGUAACUUCCACAGACGCUUCAUGUGCUUAAAACACAUUCAAAAAUUCUGACUUACCUUUUUUUUACAGUGUAACUUUAGAGUGGAGCUUUGGGCUUGGAAAUAUAUAAGAGAUCUGUGUUUUUGUCCAUUUUAAUUCAGUUUAUUUUAAUUUUUGUAGUAUGAGUUUUGUUUACUUUCUCAAUUCCAAAGUGUAAUUGUUCAUAUUCAGAUUUAAUUGUACGAUUUGGGCUAUUAAGUGAGAUUUAUCUCUGUUUUGAAAGCUUUUUGAAAGUUUGCUUU
This is a long non-coding RNA of Oryzias latipes (Japanese medaka), 2102 nucleotides long. RefSeq lists it as uncharacterized. The record is from RefSeq and is a predicted model, not a curated record. Lineage: Eukaryota; Metazoa; Chordata; Actinopteri; Beloniformes; Adrianichthyidae.